Molecule: unclassified non-coding RNA, 218 nt
Filed under: Hevea brasiliensis (rubber tree)
Lineage: Eukaryota; Viridiplantae; Streptophyta; Magnoliopsida; Malpighiales; Euphorbiaceae
Source: RNAcentral
UGUAUUUUUUUUUUUUUUUUUUAACUUGCUUCUACGCUUUGUAGUUUGGAGUUUAGGAUGGGCUUAUGCAAAGUAAUACUAGAGGUAGAAAUGGAAAGUUUGUGUGCAUGAAAAUAAAAAAGCAAAUAGCAAUUGAGAAAAGGAGAAACUCCUAAAGCGUGCUUUAUGCUUUUGCGCAAUUUAACUUCAUAAUGGUAUUUUGUCAAACAUAGUCUAAA